AAGAGGACGUUAAUACAUGGAGAGUUGUAAUAGGAGGCAGUUACAGUGGCGGUUGAAGAAGUUGAGCAUGACUCCGAUUGGAAACGUUGGUUGUAACGGCUUUUCGAACCGAAGCUGACUCGGAACCACGGUGAGCUAACCGGAAAUGAAGGGAGAUAAAGAAAAUAUUAAGUGUGGGAUUAAGCUAAGGUUUCGUUGAUUAAUAGGAAGAAGAAGAAGAAGAGAAAG
Arachis ipaensis is the source of this 228-nucleotide non-coding RNA. NCBI's taxonomy places the organism in Eukaryota, Viridiplantae, Streptophyta, Magnoliopsida, Fabales, Fabaceae. The record is from RefSeq and is a predicted model, not a curated record.